AAGGAGUUUUUGUUUUUCAAUGGGCACUGGUUGGUGUUUGUUGUUUAUUUUUUUAAUCCGGGUGGAUCGGUGUUGUGUGUGAUUGUGUGCUGCUAACAGUUGGUGGCUGUGCAUGGUUGUGUGAUGGUGUGUUGUUGUGUGUUGUGUUGAUUGUGGGAAGUGUUGUUUGUUGUGUUGGCAUGCUGUUGGGUGUCUGGGAUGAUGCACUGUGGUGUUGAUUCUUGUGGCUGCUUGUUGUGCUGGUGGUGAUCCUGUGUGGGUUGUUGUUGGUGUGGUGGGUGGUUGUGUUGUGUGAGAACUGUAUAGUGGACGCGAGUAAUAAUCUUUAUUCUUUUUAGUUCUUGGUAUUUUUUGUUUGCAUAUUUGUGUGUUGUUUU
RNAcentral lists this unclassified non-coding RNA (377 nucleotides) under Corynebacterium pseudotuberculosis. RNAcentral describes it as "16S-23S ribosomal RNA intergenic spacer region". The record is from RNAcentral. Lineage: Bacteria; Bacillati; Actinomycetota; Actinomycetes; Mycobacteriales; Corynebacteriaceae.